GGACGUGCAUGCAGGCUGCUGUGACACCUGUCACCCCACUGCUCUCCGGGGCUGAUCCCCCUAGUCCCGUCUGCCGGAUGGGGUCCCCUCCUCCUUCACUGACCCACAUGCGGCCCUCGAAGCUGUGGUGGGUGGUAGGAGAGGACACCGCCCACCACAGAGGAGACCUCUUCCUCAGCCAAGGGUGCUCGAGUAGCUGCGCUCCCCACCAGGCCCUCCAAACAGCGCUCGAGGUCCAUACCUCAGAAACACCAUGUAAUCCAGAAGCAGAAGGCCUCCGUCCCACCUCUGCUGUCACUGUGACCUGAUACAUGGGUUUUGGG
Molecule: small nuclear RNA, 323 nt
Filed under: Fukomys damarensis (Damara mole-rat)
Lineage: Eukaryota; Metazoa; Chordata; Mammalia; Rodentia; Bathyergidae
Description: 7SK RNA
Rfam family: 7SK RNA
About the family: 7SK was discovered as an abundant small nuclear RNA in the mid-70s but a possible function has only recently been suggested. Two independent studies have found that 7SK RNA binds the CDK9/cyclin T complex (known as elongation factor P-TEFb).
Source: Rfam by way of RNAcentral